AUGAACGCUAGCUACAGGCUUAACACAUGCAAGUCGAGGGGCAGCGGGAUUGAAGCUUGCUUCAAUUGCCGGCGACCGGCGCACGGGUGAGUAACGCGUAUCCAACCUUCCGUACACUCAGGGAUAGCCUUUCGAAAGAAAGAUUAAUACCUGAUGGUAUGAUGAGAUUGCAUGAUAGCAUCAUUAAAGAUUUAUCGGUGUACGAUGGGGAUGCGUUCCAUUAGCUUGUUGGCGGGGUAACGGCCCACCAAGGCGACGAUCAGUAGGGGUUCUGAGAGGAAGGUCCCCCACAUUGGAACUGAGACACGGUCCAAACUCCUACGGGAGGCAGCAGUGAGGAAUAUUGGUCAAUGGGCGAGAGCCUGAACCAGCCAAGUAGCGUGAAGGAUGACUGCCCUAUGGGUUGUAAACUUCUUUUAUAAAGGAAUAAAGUCGGGUAUGUAUACCCGUUUGCAUGUACUUUAUGAAUAAGGACCGGCUAAUUCCGUG
Molecule: ribosomal RNA, 489 nt
Filed under: uncultured bacterium
Lineage: Bacteria
Description: bacterial SSU rRNA
Rfam family: Bacterial small subunit ribosomal RNA
Source: RNAcentral